This 403-nucleotide ribosomal RNA is filed under the name Fusobacteriota bacterium. RNAcentral's name for it is "Fusobacteria bacterium partial 16S ribosomal RNA". It matches the Rfam family "Bacterial small subunit ribosomal RNA", at positions 355 to 776 of the family's 1533-position model. Lineage: Bacteria; Fusobacteriati; Fusobacteriota. The record is from RNAcentral.
UGGGGAAUAUUGCACAAUGGAGGGAACUCUGAUGCAGCGACGCCGCGUGAACGAAGAAGGCUUUCGAGUCGUAAAGUUCUUUUAUAUGGGAAGAUAAUGACGGUACCAUAAGAAAAAGCCCCGGCUAACUACGUGCCAGCAGCCGCGGUAAUACGUAGGGGGCUAGCGUUGUCCGGAAUCACUGGGCGUAAAGGGUUCGCAGGCGGAAAUGCAAGUCAGAUGUAAAAGGCAGUAGCUUAGCUACUGUAAGCAUUUGAAACUGCAUAUCUUGAGAAGAGUAGAGGUAAGUGGAAUUUUUAGUGUAGCGGUGAAAUGCGUAGAUAUUAAAAAGAAUACCGGUGGCGAAGGCGACUUACUGGGCUCAUUCUGACGCUGAGGAACGAAAGCGUGGGUAGCAAACAGG